UACGUAGGGUGCAAGCGUUAAUCGGAAUUACUGGGCGUAAAGCGUGCGCAGGCGGUGAUGUAAGACAGGUGUGAAAUCCCCGGGCUUAACCUGGGAACUGCAUUUGUGACUGCAUCGCUGGAGUGCGGCAGAGGGGGAUGGAAUUCCGCGUGUAGCAGUGAAAUGCGUAGAUAUGCGGAGGAACACCGAUGGCGAAGGCAAUCCCCUGGGCCUGCACUGACGCUCAUGCACGAAAGCGUGGGGAGCGAAACAGG
RNAcentral lists this ribosomal RNA (254 nucleotides) under uncultured bacterium. Its description in RNAcentral is "partial 16S ribosomal RNA". It matches the Rfam family "Bacterial small subunit ribosomal RNA", at positions 524 to 776 of the family's 1533-position model. The record is from RNAcentral.